RNAcentral lists this unclassified non-coding RNA (144 nucleotides) under soil metagenome. RNAcentral's name for it is "partial internal transcribed spacer 1". The record is from RNAcentral.
UAAUAAGUGUUUUAUGGCACUUUUUAAAUCCAUAUCCACCUUGUGUGCAAUGUCAGUCGAUCUUCUUCAUGGAGAUCGACCAAACAUCAACCUUUAUCUUUUAACUCUUUGUCUGAAAAAUAUUAUGAUAAACAAUUCAAAAUA